This 1406-nucleotide long non-coding RNA is filed under the name Olea europaea subsp. europaea. The record is from RNAcentral. Lineage: Eukaryota; Viridiplantae; Streptophyta; Magnoliopsida; Lamiales; Oleaceae.
GUCAUGAAAUUGAAUUAUGUCUCAAAGUUGAUUGUUUUAGGUGUGUAAUUUUGAUUAUCAACAGGGGAGGACUUGAAGGACGUGAAAAGGACUGUAAUACACAAAAUUGGUGAGUGCUUAGGAGAAAAAAGUCUAGCUGGAAAAUAUCUACGCCGCCGUAUAAUUCAACAGCGCAUCUUUAAUUUAGCUUUAUUAAGCAGUCAUGCUCUCAAUUGGGGUACAUGUAAUAAGAGAACAUGUUUUUGUGACUAGCCGUAAAUUUGGAUAAUAAUAGGUUAGGUUUCUUGUCUGGAAAUAUGCACAAAUCAAAGCAUGCAAAACAUGCUACAGAAUAACACUUAAUUUUAACUUCUAAGUUUCCACCAAAUUGAUGUGAAAUAUUAAUAUCAUACUUUGUUUAACAUUCAAGCUUCCAAACAAAUUGAAGUGCUUGCCUUAGAAUUUACUUUAUGUAAUAGAAAGGGCAUUCAAAUGCAUUUUUGGUUCGAUAACAUUUACUUAUUGUAGUUUGGAGCUUGCUUUCUAUACUUUAACUGAUUUUAUUCAUGGAUUCAUUAUGGUAGAUUGGUAAAAUGCCUUUUAUCGAUAACAAGCUUUAUCCGAUAAAAGCAGUUAAGUUGGUGUUGCAGGAACAUUGAUUAAAACUGAAAAGAAAAGCAAGAUAAUCUCUUGCAUUUGAGAAAUUUAGGGAACAACUUGUUUCAGAUGGCAAUGGAAAUUAAUUGGAUUUAUGGCUGUCUACACAAGUUUCUUAACACGCUAAAAAUUUGUUGACAUCCAUGUAUCAAUCAAGUUUGGUUAUCUACGUAGUUAACCUCUGUUUCAAUCUAAUUUGUAGGGAAGAUUCUGGUGAUCGAGGACAGGCUUCUAUUGAUGCCACAUCCUGUAAUGGUCGGGAGAUGUGUUCUUUACAUUGAUUCCUUCGAGCAGAGAAACUCUCCUUCCAAAUUAUGUGAAAAUUACUAUGAUAUGAUAGCUGAUGCUGAAUACGGAAUAGAGUUAGCAGAAAUUAAUGGCUUGAAAAUCGACAUUCAGCAAUUUUGACGAGUUUCUCAUUGAUAAUUUCUGUGUAGUUUUAGUUCUGGAUAUGACUGAACAUGUCAAAAAACAAGAACUCUUGGAAAGCAUGUACCUUAAAAAAUGUUUUUGAAAAAGCCUAAAUUUGGAAUAUGUUUGGGAGUUCUCAAUUGGGAUAUUGCAUAUCUUCUUAAGAUAAAGAGUGCUGAUCGCCAAUAUAUGUAAAAACUAGUGUACGGACACAAAUGGUUACAAAAUGAAUCUGAAUUUGAAAUUUACUCUUUUUAUUUAAUAUUGUCUAGUACUGGCGAAUGUUCACGUGCUUAUAGCCCUAUUUAAAUUAAUUUUUUUGUGAAGUGGGGGUCUGUUUGAAUAGUAUUUGAUGGCUA